CACCUCUAGCAUUUCCAGUAUUAAAGGCACUGCCUGCCCAGUGACAUCUGUUUAAACGGCCGCGGUAUCCUAACCGUGCAAAGGUAGCAUAAUCACUUGUUCCCUAAAUAGGGACUUGUAUGAAUGGCCACACGAGGGUUUUACUGUCUCUUACUUCCAAUCAGUGAAAUUGACCUUCCCGUGAAGAGGCGGGAAUGACUAAAUAAGACGAGAAGACCCUAUGGAGCUUUAAUUAACUGAUUCACAAAAAACAACACACAAACCUAACCUUCAGGGACAACAAAACUUUUGAUUGAAUCAGCAAUUUCGGUUGGGGUGACCUCGGAGAACAAAACAACCUCCGAGUAAUUUAAAUCCAGACUAACCAGUCAAAAUAUAUAAUCACUUAUUGAUCCAAACCAUUGAUCAACGGAACAAGUUACCCUAGGGAUAACAGCACAAUCCUAUUCCAGAGUCCAUAUCGACAAUUAGGGUUUACGACCUCGAUGUUGGAUCAAGACAUCCUAAUGGUGCAACCGCUAUUAAGGGUUCGUUUGUUCAACGAUUAAAGUCUU
Molecule: ribosomal RNA, 554 nt
Filed under: Equus caballus (horse)
Lineage: Eukaryota; Metazoa; Chordata; Mammalia; Perissodactyla; Equidae
Description: partial large subunit ribosomal RNA
Rfam family: Bacterial large subunit ribosomal RNA
Source: RNAcentral